RNAcentral lists this ribosomal RNA (453 nucleotides) under uncultured bacterium. RNAcentral's name for it is "partial 16S ribosomal RNA". It matches the Rfam family "Bacterial small subunit ribosomal RNA", at positions 356 to 801 of the family's 1533-position model. The record is from RNAcentral.
AGGGAAUCUUCCACAAUGGACGCAAGUCUGAUGGAGCAACGCCGCGUGAGUGAAGAAGGCUUUCGGGUCGUAAAACUCUGUUAUUGAAGAAGAACGUGUGUGACAGUAACUGGUCAUGCAGUGACGGUAUUCAAUCAGAAAGUCACGGCUAACUACGUGCCAGCAGCCGCGGUAAUACGUAGGUGGCAAGCGUUGUCCGGAUUUAUUGGGCGUAAAGCGAGUGCAGGCGGUCUUUUAAGUCUGAUGUGAAAGCCUUCGGCUUAACCGAAGAAGGGCAUCGGAAACUGGGAGACUUGAGUGCAGAAGAGGAGAGUGGAACUCCAUGUGUAGCGGUGAAAUGCGUAGAUAUAUGGAAGAACACCAGUGGCGAAGGCGGCUCUCUGGUCUGUAACUGACGCUGAGGCUCGAAAGCGUGGGUAGCAAACAGGAUUAGAUACCCUGGUAGUCCACGCC